GAUGAAGAACGUAGCGAAAUGCGAUAAGUAAUGUGAAUUGCAGAAUUCAGUGAAUCAUCGAAUCUUUGAACGCACAUUGCGCCCGCCAGUAUUCUGGCGGGCAUGCCUGUUCGAGCGUCAUUUCAACCAUCAAGCCCCCGGCUUGUGUUGGGGACCUGCGGCUGCCGCAGGCCCUGAAAACCAGUGGCGGGCUCGCUAGUCACUCCGAGCGUAGUAAUACAUCUCGCUCAGGGCGUGCUGUGGGUUCCGGCCGUUAAAAGCCUUAUUUUACCCAAGGUUGACCUCGGAUCAGGUAGGAAGACCCGCUGAACUUAAGCAUAUCAAUAAGCGGAGGA
This 335-nucleotide unclassified non-coding RNA is filed under the name soil metagenome. RNAcentral's name for it is "partial contains 5.8S ribosomal RNA, internal transcribed spacer 2, and large subunit ribosomal RNA". The stretch from base 1 to 120 matches the Rfam family "5.8S ribosomal RNA", at positions 35 to 154 of the family's 154-position model. The record is from RNAcentral.